AGAUUGAACGCUGGCGGCAGGCCUAACACAUGCAAGUCGAGCGGUAGAGAGGUGCUUGCACCUCUUGAGAGCGGCGGACGGGUGAGUAAUGCCUAGGAAUCUGCCUAGUGGUGGGGGAUAACGGUUCGGAAACGG
Molecule: ribosomal RNA, 135 nt
Filed under: uncultured soil bacterium
Lineage: Bacteria
Description: partial 16S ribosomal RNA
Rfam family: Bacterial small subunit ribosomal RNA
Source: RNAcentral